CAGGUAGUUGGUGGGGUAACGGCCUACCAAGCCUUCGAUCCGUAGCUGGUCUGAGAGGAUGAUCAGCCACACUGGGACUGAGAUACGGCCCAGACUCCUACGGGAGGCAGCAGUGGGGAAUAUUGGACAAUGGGGGCAACCCUGAUCCAGCAAUGCCGCGUGGAUGAUGAAGGCCUUCGGGUUGUAAAGUCCUUUCGGCGGGGAAGAUGAUGACGGUACCCGCAGAAGAAGCCCCGGCUAACUUCGUGCCAGCAGCCGCGGUAAUACGAAGGGGGCUAGCGUUGUUCGGAAUUACUGGGCGUAAAGGGCGCGUAGGCUGUGCUGUAAGUCAGGCGUGAAAGCCCCGGGCUCAACCUGGGAAUUGCGCUUGAUACUGCGGCGCUGGAAGGUGGGAGAGGAUGGCGGAAUUCCCAGUGUAGAGGUGAAAUUCGUAGAUAUUGGGAAGAACACCGGUGGCGAAGGCGGCCAUCUGGCCCACAUUUGACGCUGAGGCGCGAAAGCGUGGGGAGCAAACAGGAUUAGAUACCCUGGUAGUCCACGCUGUAAACGAUGAGUGCUAGACGUCGGGGAGCUUGCUCUUCGGUGUCGCCGCUAACGCAUUAAGCACUCCGCCUGGGGAGUACGG
RNAcentral lists this ribosomal RNA (625 nucleotides) under uncultured Alphaproteobacteria bacterium. RNAcentral describes it as "SSU rRNA". It matches the Rfam family "Bacterial small subunit ribosomal RNA", at positions 242 to 885 of the family's 1533-position model. Lineage: Bacteria; Pseudomonadati; Pseudomonadota; Alphaproteobacteria. The record is from RNAcentral.